AAAGCGAGGAAGACGCGAUGUAGUAGAAAAACUGGAAGAAAUCAGCCAGUUUCUACAGGGCUAAUGAGAGGCUGGCCGAGGUGCGCACUAAGCUUCAGCUGGAGAAGCAGCACAAGAGCUCUUUCCCCGCCUUUGUUCCUGCAAGGCCUGCUGGCGAACCGCCUCCUGCUGCUGGUACUAGCGCGGAGGCCGAAAGGAGUCCCACUCGAAGAAGGCGCUUCAGGACUGUUCCAGACCCUUCAACUAACUAGAGCGAUCCCUUGUUCCGGGAAUACCGAGGUGGCAAAGAUAGGGAGUCUUUAAAUUACAACCAGUUUUCAUUGUGUAUCGUUGUUAAAAUAGCCAUUUAAAGUGAUGUGCGUUGGUUUAUGGUUUGAUGGUGUUUUCAUGAUCUUCUUGAUGCAGAGAAGGGUAGCACGGGCCCUUGUUAAGUGAGAUCUCAGCUUGUUUCUUCUCACUUGGCUUCAUGUCAUAAUAAAUCAAAGAAGAAAAAAGCUCAGGUUUCGUAGACAGCGUUGUGGGUGAAUUGAGUCUAAGUGCUUCAGAGUCAUGAAACCGGACUGCGUGGCGUUAAAAAAAAACAUGCAUGGCUUACACUUCCGCCAGUGGCUAAGCAUGAUGCAAACGCGAAAUGUUUUCAUUAGUUGUCACCAAAAAAUCGACAGUGUGUCACUUUGCAGGAUGAUGGUGGAAGAGUGUGAGUGCAAAAG
This is a non-coding RNA of Vicugna pacos (alpaca), 710 nucleotides long. Lineage: Eukaryota; Metazoa; Chordata; Mammalia; Artiodactyla; Camelidae. The record is from RefSeq and is a predicted model, not a curated record.